RNAcentral lists this long non-coding RNA (513 nucleotides) under Bemisia tabaci. RNAcentral's name for it is "lncRNA ENSSSA1UGG010231". The record is from RNAcentral. Lineage: Eukaryota; Metazoa; Arthropoda; Insecta; Hemiptera; Aleyrodidae.
AUGAUAUUUGGAGGACCUGAAAGCACACUGCUGAAACACUUGGGGAUAUACGUGAAUCUCGAAGAAAAUGAAGGCGUGCAACUUAAAACGAAAAUACUUGUCUCGGUUGACUAUAUCCAUCAGCGAUUCUUCAACAAAUGGGACUACAUUCGAGUGCCAAACCAGGCUUGGGGCGAAGAAAAAUCUACCCACCAAGAAAAUAUCUCCGAGGUCGAUCGUGUGAAGAAAUGUGUCGACUUAUUUUUCACUUUCUGCGAGCAUCUUCGUCAAAACACAUUGGGAACUCUGAAAGGUACCUCGCUGGACAUUGCUCAUAAAGUGUCUCCUCCCAUGCUAACUCCUCAAAUGCUGGAUUCUGUCUUGGAUUCAUCGGUCUUACCUGACAUUGCGGACCUCACACAGUCUUAUCAACAAAUCCCUCAAACAUUGCUCUGGAGAGACAAUAUGCAGCCUUUGACGAGUGAGUUGGUGCCUGAGUUCAUUUUAAGAGGUGACAUCUGCAACGCAUCAUGA